Malaclemys terrapin pileata is the source of this 721-nucleotide long non-coding RNA. RefSeq lists it as uncharacterized. The record is from RefSeq and is a predicted model, not a curated record. NCBI's taxonomy places the organism in Eukaryota, Metazoa, Chordata, Testudines, Emydidae. The transcript is spliced from 3 exons.
GCAACAGAGAAAGAGAGACUGGGGCAGGGAAGCACAUAGAAUCUGGACUGUGGGAAGAAGAGGUCUUCUGACAGCAAGAGUCUCACCAAAGGGCAGUGCCAAGGGGAGUGCCUUCCAGCCCUGGACACUACAGUCAUGAAAAUGAAUAGUUUGGCUUCACCCAAAAUGAUGGAUAAUCUUCCUAGAAGAGUGUGACAAUGAUGGACAGACAUCUUCUGUGUGAAGAGGAUACUGAAAACGUUGCGGUCUUGAGCCGGCAAUCAAGUUGACAUAACAUCUAUCAUUUAAUAUUCUCUUAUGUUGUUGGAAUUUCUUGAACUGAACUAGCUUCAUAUUAUCCAUUUUCCUCAAACAACAACUGCAACUGCCGAAGGAGUCAUUUUUGAUGGGAGGAGAUUUUCAAUGGGUUUUGAAUUAAUGGUGAUUGAACUGUGUUAUAAAAGAAGAAAAUAAACUGAGGAUUUAUGCUGUCAGUAAAGUAUGUUCUGCCACUAAGAGAAAACAAACUCUCAAACUUCAGAUCAGAAGAAUAUUAAAUUACACGUGAAUGGAGUAUUAUCACUAAGAGUAGAGUUAUAAGUAAUAACUAUUUGAGAAUAUAGGUUGUUAUUACCCAGAAAACUACAACAAAUAGGACACUGGACUGGGACUCUGGACAUCUGGGUUCAAUUCCCAGAUCUACCACCAACCUGCUGUGUGAUGUUAGUUAAAUCACUUCCCG